Molecule: long non-coding RNA, 1732 nt
Organism: Pecten maximus
Lineage: Eukaryota; Metazoa; Mollusca; Bivalvia; Pectinida; Pectinidae
Exons: 2
Source: RefSeq, a predicted model, not a curated record
ACUCUGUUACAACAGAGCUGUUCGGGGACGAACUUUCACAGGCUGUCAGAGACAUAAGUGAAACAAACAAACUUUCAUAUAGCGUGUCAAAAUACGCUUAUGGUAACGUCAAGGGUGCUUCCCGAUAUAACAACAAAGGGAAGGCUGGCUUGAGGCCUUACAACAACAAACCCUAUGACAGGCCGCACUACAAUUAUGGCGGACCAGGUGGUGGUAACUACCGUCAACAAAAUCAUGGCCAUGGGGGCCCACCAAACUAUCACAAGAAGUCAAAAAACUUCAAGAAGGGACAGGAGCGAAAAUAGCUUUGCCCGACACCACUCCUGUCCUUACCGAGCAAGAAGACCUUGACUCAUCCUCAUCAAAGGGAAAAACAACCACCCAGGAUGACACUACUAGCAUGCAAGGUUUCCGGAGUGCAAUCCAAAAAUGGAGAUUUUCUCAAGAGACUUAAUCAAUCUUGUUGUCCUUAUGGCGUGAUGGAACCUACAAACAAUACAACACCUACAUUCAGAAGUGGUAUCAGUAUUCAGACCAGAGGUCAUGUGAUCCCAUGUCACCAUCUGUGACGGACAUAUUGGAAUUUCUCACAAGUUUAUUCCACGGAGGCAUUGGGUACAGUGCACUGAAUACGGCGCGGUCAGCCUUAUCAACAUUUAUAUAUAUUGACAAUCUACCGUGUGGAAACCACCCGUUAGUGAAAAGGUUUUUAUGAGGUGUAUUUCAACUACAACCGGCGCUACCACGAAAUGCUGUUACAUGAGACCCUCAACAAGUACUCGUGUUCCUGGAACAUUAGAUUGUGCUACAAUUAAAAAUCUCACCCUGAAGCUUACUUUGAAGUCUUGGCAUUGUUGACAGGGCAACGGGCCCAGUCAUUACAUCUGUUAGACUUGAGAAACAUUACAAUUGAUGCAGGGUCAGUCAAAAUCCGGUUUGGUGACAAAUUGAAACAUACAAGGCCUGGGCACCAUCAACAGGAAAUUGUACUUAAUUCCUUUUCCACUCCAGAGUUGUGUAUUGUUAAUGCACUUACACGAUACUUGGCUCAAACUGAACAGCUUCGAGUAGGGGCCACCCAGUUGCUCAUUAGCUACCAAAAGCCUUAUCCAGAUGGAUUAGGACAGUGUUGUCCCAGGCUGGGAUUGUUAUGACAAUUUUUACGCCUCAUAGUACUAGGUCAGCUUCAACUUCCGCUGCACUACGGACUGCAGUACCUUGAGUACUAUCCUUAAAACAGCAGGGUGGACAAAUAAUUGUACCUUUGUUACUAUAACAAACCUGUGACAGACCCUGUCUACAAGAUUUGUUUGUAAAAUGUGCAAAUUUGACUUUUAAGUGAGAUUGGACUUCCAUGUGUUACAUAUGAUGCAUACAGCAUUGACAUUGUAUUGCUCGAAUGAAUAUAUGUGUUGGAUUAACCUUAAUAGGUCAGAUAUGAACUCUGAUGACUUAUAGUUAUAGUAGAAUAGUAGUUAUACUUAUGAUUUUAGAGUAGUUAAGUACUACCAUUUUUCUUUGGAUUUGAAUUUAUAGUGAUGAACAGACUUUAUUACAUGUGAAUGCAUGUACAAGUAGUGUGAUUCAGUUUUAUGUUCUAGUCAGGAUGAAGUUAUUUUUAUCAUGUGAAUGGUUAUUAUGCUGAUGAUUGAGUGAUAAGUUUUGCGUUGCAUUGUCAUGACAUUACUUGUAGUGAUACUGGUGAUUAUUUUGAAUAUAAGAUUUGACGUUA